AACGAACGCUGGCGGCAUGCCUAACACAUGCAAGUCGAACGACACCUUCGGGUCUAGUGGCGCACGGGUGCGUAACGCGUGGGAACCUGCCCUUAGGUUCGGAAUAACUCCCCGACAGGGGUGCUAAUACCGGAUAAUGUCUUCUGACCAAAGAUUUAUCGCCCUUGGAUGGGCCCGCGUUGGAUUAGCUAGUUGGUAGUGUAAAAGCCUACCAAGGCGACGAUCCAUAGCUGGUCUGAGAGAAUGAUCAGCCACACUGGGACGGAGACGCGGCCCAGACUACUACGGGAGGCAGGAGAGGGGGAUAUAGGAAAAUGGGCGAAAGGCUGAACCAGCAAGGCCGCGUGAGUGAUGAAGGCGUUAGGGAUGUAAAGCACGUUUACCCGGGAUGAUAAUGACAGUACCGGAAGAAUAAGCACCGGCUAACUCCGUG
This 433-nucleotide ribosomal RNA is filed under the name uncultured bacterium. RNAcentral describes it as "partial 16S ribosomal RNA". It matches the Rfam family "Bacterial small subunit ribosomal RNA", at positions 29 to 507 of the family's 1533-position model. The record is from RNAcentral.